Molecule: ribosomal RNA, 253 nt
Filed under: uncultured bacterium
Lineage: Bacteria
Description: partial 16S ribosomal RNA
Rfam family: Bacterial small subunit ribosomal RNA
Source: RNAcentral
UACGUAGGGUGCGAGCGUUGUCCGGAAUUAUUGGGCGUAAAGAGCUCGUAGGCGGUCUGUCACGUCGGCUGUGAAAACCCGGGGCUCAACCCCGGGCCUGCAGUCGAUACGGGCAGACUAGAGUGCGGUAGGGGAGACUGGAAUUCCUGGUGUAGCGGUGAAAUGCGCAGAUAUCAGGAGGAACACCGGUGGCGAAGGCGGGUCUCUGGGCCGUAACUGACGCUGAGGAGCGACAGCGUGGGGAGCAAACAGG